UACGAAGGGGGCUAGCGUUGCUCGGAAUCACUGGGCGUAAAGCGCACGUAGGCGGCUUUUUAAGUCAGGGGUGAAAUCCUGGAGCUCAACUCCAGAACUGCCUUUGAUACUGGGAAGCUUGAGUCCGGAAGAGGUGAGUGGAACUCCGAGUGUAGAGGUGAAAUUCGUAGAUAUUCGGAAGAACACCAGUGGCGAAGGCGGCUCACUGGUCCGGUACUGACGCUGAGGUGCGAAAGCGUGGGGAGCAACCAGG
Molecule: ribosomal RNA, 253 nt
Filed under: uncultured bacterium
Lineage: Bacteria
Description: partial 16S ribosomal RNA
Rfam family: Bacterial small subunit ribosomal RNA
Source: RNAcentral